RNAcentral lists this ribosomal RNA (59 nucleotides) under Zoanthus sansibaricus. RNAcentral describes it as "partial 28S ribosomal RNA". The record is from RNAcentral. Lineage: Eukaryota; Metazoa; Cnidaria; Anthozoa; Zoantharia; Zoanthidae.
GACCUCAGAUCAGGCAAGGCUACCGCUGUAUUUAAGCNAUAUUAAUAAGCGGAGGAAAA